GUUUAUACCAUGCAACAAGGUUUUGCAAAUCUUAAUUGCCUCACUUUUGUCAGUGAGUUUCACGUGGUGGGGUAGAUUUGCCACCAAUGCCGAGGGGCAUGCACUGUUUUGUGGCGGUGUGUGAUUUUCUUCAUCUCAUGCUUUUAUCAAGUGACGAUAAAUAGGAUUAUACGAAGGAAGGCGCGAAGGGGGCGCCAGCACCAUGGCAGGGGAAAUUUGGUGGGUGCCUGGAAUCUGGAAUUUAGCCGUUCUUAUGAACUUAAA
Molecule: unclassified non-coding RNA, 264 nt
Filed under: Hevea brasiliensis (rubber tree)
Lineage: Eukaryota; Viridiplantae; Streptophyta; Magnoliopsida; Malpighiales; Euphorbiaceae
Source: RNAcentral